This is an RNA transcript of Mastomys coucha (southern multimammate mouse), 2605 nucleotides long. It is a transcript of the gene named GA-binding protein alpha chain pseudogene, with no coding region annotated. Lineage: Eukaryota; Metazoa; Chordata; Mammalia; Rodentia; Muridae. The record is from RefSeq and is a predicted model, not a curated record. The transcript has a single exon.
GCCUGGAACUCACAGAGAUCCCCCUGUCUCUGCAUCCUGAGUGCUGGGAUUAAAGGUAUGCACCAUCACUACCCUACUACAUGUAUAUUUUUAAAGGCUUUAGGCAUUUGUUGAGCCCCCACUAUGUGCUAAGGCCAUACUGUACCCUUGAGUUCCACAUGUGGAAAAAAAAAAGGCCCUGUGGUGCCAGUGUGGAAAAGAAAAUGUGACCCAGUGACAUGUGGCCUGUGAGAUGUUUCAGCAAACAAAGUUUCUUGCUGCCAAGCCUGAGUUGAAUCCCCAGGGCCCAUAUGGUAGAAGGAGAAAACCAACUUCUACCAGUUGUCUGCUAAGCUAUACCUGUAUACUUGUGUAUACAUACAUGCAUAUAAAUAAAAGUUAUAAAGUUAUAAUGUUUUAAAAAUUAUAAAUUUUUUUUAACACACAGAAUGGAUUGGGGAGAUGGCUGAGCAAUAAAGCAAUUACAAUGCAAGCAAGAAUGUAGAAACCUAUAUUCUCAGAACCCAUGUAAAUGCUGAAUGGACAUGGUAGUGGUACUUUAAUUCCAGCCUCAAAGGAGUUCCUGGUGCAAGCUGGCUUUGUGACUACCUGUAUUGAUAAGCUAUGGGUUUGGCUAAGAGAUCAUGCCUCAAAGACGAUUCCUCUUACCAACCUCAGCCUCCCCACAAACACAUACACACAUACAUACCACACAUAAACAUAAAGAAAAAAACAGAUAACUGUCAAUUUACAAGGGCUUAUAGAGCACAAAGGGAAUGGUGAUUAGCAGAGAGGAAAUGUAUACACCCUUCAACAUGCCUACCCCAUACCAAAGUUAGAAUGUGAUUUCAGUAUAAGUACAGUGCUCAGGGAUCCUACCUACUAAUAACACAACUACAAAGCAAACCAUCUAGUCCUGGCAUACAACUGUGAGGUCACCAGAUCAUGGCCAUUCUCCAUGUACUCUCCAGGGCUCAUCUGAGCAGUACGAAUGAAGAGGGAGAAACCACAGUAUCUCCCAACCCUAUUUCCUCUUAGAAACAAAAACAAAACCCGGCUAAGUCAAAAGAUCUACUGUAGAAUAAGAAGAGGUACUAAAGGAAAAAAGAGUUAGUCAAUGAUAUGACCAAGAAGAAAGAUUUGAAAUGGCCCUGAAGCACUACAGUUAAGCCAACAAUAAUGAAUUUUAUUACUAAUCAAGCAGCUGUGUAAUUUUAAAAAGGCCACAGUCGACAAGAAGAACUGAAGAGUGAACCAAGAAGGCCUACCAACAGAUUGCCAGAGCUUAUGCCCAAACUGAGAGUUGCAUUUCAAAAAAGAGAAGUACAAGGGUGCCAUCCAGUUCUCAGGAAUCUCUGGCAGAGCUUUGAACCACAUGUGCUCAAGAAGCUGCCAGCUGUUAAUGAAAAUCCUGAAAUGUAGGCAGUCUACAUCAACCAGACUUGCCUUUGAAAAGAGGAAAAACUGAGUCGUUCGACACUCACCGGACAGGAAGCGCCUCUGGGUGAGACAGAAGCCAAACAGGAGGAGGAAGUGGAGGGACUGACCUUUUGAAAUACUUCAACCAUGACUAAGAGAGAAGCAGAAGAUCUGAUAGAAAUUGAGAUCGAUGGAACUGAGAAACCUGAGUGCACAGAAGAAAGCAUUGUGGAACAAACCUAUACCCCAGCUGAAUGUGUAAGCCAGGCCAUUGACAUCAAUGAACCAAUAGGCAAUUUAAAGAAACUACUAGAACCAAGACUGCAGUGUUCUUUGGAUGCUCAUGAAAUUUGCCUGCAAGAUAUUCAGCUGGAUCCAGACCGAAGCUUGUUUGAUCAAGGAGUGAAAAUAGAUGGGACUAUACAGCUUAGUGUACAGGUAAUUUCUUACCAAGGAAUUGAGCCAAAGUUAAACAUUCUUGAAAUUAAGACUGCGGAAACAGUCGAAGUGGUCAUUGAUCCAGACGCCCACCAUGCAGAAGCAGAAGCGCAUCUCGUUGAAGAAGCCCAAGUGAUAACUUUUGAUGGCACCAAGCAUAUUACCACCAUUUCAGAUGAGACCUCGGAGCAAGUGAUGAGAUGGGCUGCUGCACUGGAAGGCUACAGAAAAGAGCAGGAACGCCUUGGCAUCCCCUAUGAUCCUAUACAGUGGUCCACAGACCAAGUCCUGCAUUGGGUGGUUUGGGUAAUGAAGGAGUUCAGCAUGACUGAUAUAGACCUCACCACACUCAACAUUUCGGGAAGAGAAUUAUGUAGUCUCAACCAAGAAGAUUUUUUUCAGCAGGUCCCUCGGGGAGAAAUUCUCUGGAGUCAUCUGGAGCUUCUUUGAAAAUAUGUUUUGGCAAGCCAAGAACAAGAGAUGAAUGAGAUAGUUACAAUUGACCAGCCUGUGCAAAUUAUUCCAGCAUCAGUGCCUUCCGCUACACUGACUACAAUUAAAGUUAUAAACAGUAAUGCAAAGGCAGCUAAAGUACAGAGAUCCCCAAGGAUUUCAGGAGAAGAUAGAAGCUCACUGGGGAACAGAACAGGAAACAAUGGUCAGAUCCAGCUAUGGCAGUUUUUGCUAGAACUUCUUACUGACAAAUACAGCUCGAGACUGUAUUUCUUGGGUUGGUGAUGAAGGUGAAUUUAAGCUAAAUCAGCCUGAA